RNAcentral lists this ribosomal RNA (218 nucleotides) under uncultured bacterium. Its description in RNAcentral is "partial 16S ribosomal RNA". It matches the Rfam family "Bacterial small subunit ribosomal RNA", at positions 1283 to 1500 of the family's 1533-position model. The record is from RNAcentral.
GGUACUCAGUUCGGAUUGCAGGCUGCAACUCGCCUGUAUGAAGUCGGAAUUGCUAGUAAUCGCGGAUCAGCAUGCCGCGGUGAAUACGUUCCCGGGCCUUGUACACACCGCCCGUCACACCAUGAGAGCCGGGAACACCCGAAGUCCGUAGUCUAACCGCAAGGAGGACGCGGCCGAAGGUGGGUUUGGUAAUUGGGGUGAAGUCGUAACAAGGUAUC